RNAcentral lists this non-coding RNA (25 nucleotides) under Rattus norvegicus (Norway rat). Lineage: Eukaryota; Metazoa; Chordata; Mammalia; Rodentia; Muridae. The record is from RNAcentral.
UGGAAGUUCUUAGCCUUGGCUACUA